UACGGAGGUCCCAAGCGUUGUUCGGAUUCACUGGGCGUAAAGGGUGCGUAGGCGGUCGGGUAAGUCUGAUGUGAAAUCUCACAGCUUAACUGUGAAACUGCAUUGGAUACUAUCCGGCUAGAGGAAUGGAGGGGAGACUGGAAUACUUGGUGUAGCAGUGAAAUGCGUAGAUAUCAAGUGGAACACCAGUGGCGAAGGCGAGUCUCUGGGCCGAUACUGACACUGAGGAGCGAAAGCGUGGGGAGCGAACAGG
RNAcentral lists this ribosomal RNA (253 nucleotides) under uncultured bacterium. RNAcentral describes it as "partial 16S ribosomal RNA". It matches the Rfam family "Bacterial small subunit ribosomal RNA", at positions 524 to 776 of the family's 1533-position model. The record is from RNAcentral.